CGCAGCCGCGGUAAUUCCAGCUCCAAUAGCGUAUAUUAAAGUUGUUGCAGUUAAAAAGCUCGUAGUUGAAUUUCGGGGUUUAUCCGUCGGUCGGGCUUUCGGGUCUGUACUGGCGUGAUGGAUUCCUACCUUCUGAAUAACCGGCAUGUCAUUAAUUUGGUGCGCCGGGGAAGCAGGACUGUUACCUUGAAAAAAUUAGAGUGCUUAAAGCAGGCUUAUGCCUGAAUACAUUAGCAUGGAAUAAUGAAAUAGGACGGCAUGGUUCUAUUUUGUUGGUUUCUAGGAUCACCGUAAUGAUUAAUAGGGAUAGUUGGGGGCAUUAGUAUUCAAUUGUCAGAGGUGAAAUUCUUGGAUUUAUUGAAGACUAACUUCUGCGAAAGCAUUUGCCAAGGAUGUUUUCAUUAAUCAAGAACGAAAGUUAGGGGAUCGAAGACGAUCAGAUACCGUCGU
RNAcentral lists this ribosomal RNA (450 nucleotides) under uncultured Glomeromycotina. Its description in RNAcentral is "SSU rRNA". It matches the Rfam family "Eukaryotic small subunit ribosomal RNA", at positions 569 to 1021 of the family's 1831-position model. The record is from RNAcentral. Lineage: Eukaryota; Fungi; Glomeromycota.